CCCUUUCCUUCCUUUCUUUUUGGUUUAGAGAAGCCCUUUCAAUAUUUCCUUUAACCUGGGUUUUGUGUUGCUGUAUUCUUUAAGUUUUUGUUUGUUGGGAAAAAUUUUUAUUUCCCCUUCUAUUUUAAAUGAUAUUCUUGCUGGAUAGAGUAUUCUAGGUUGCAUAUUUUUUCCUUUGAGCACUUUAAAUAUCUCUUGCCAUUCCCUCCUGGCCUGUAGUGUUUCUGUAGAGAAAUCAGCUGAUAUUCUUAUGGGGGUUCCCUUGUAGGUAACAUUCUGUUUUUCUCUUGCUGCCUUUAGGAUCCUCUCUUUAUCACUAACUUUUGCCAUUUUUAUUAUGAUGUGUCUUGGUGUGGGUCUGUUUGGGUUCAGUUUGUUUGGGGCCCUCUGUGCUUCUUGUAUCUUGAAUCCAGUAUCCUUUAGAUUUGGGAAGUUUCCAGCGAUAAUUUCUUCAAAUAUAUUUUCCAUUCCCUUAUCUUUUUCUACUCCUUCUGGAAUUCCUAUUAUGCGUAGAUUGGCCCGCUUUAUAUUAUCCCAUAGGUCUCUUAUAUUGCUUUCCAGUUUUUUGAUUCGGUUUUCUGUCUGUUGACCAGAUUGAGUGAUUUCCAUUAUUCUAUCUUCCAUAUCACUGAUUCGUUCUUCUGCAUUAUUCAUUCUGGUUUUUACUGCCCCUAGUUCAGUUUGCAUCUCUGCAAAUGAAUGUUCUAGUUUUUCUUGGCUCCUCCUUAUAUUUUCUAGUUCCUUUCUGAGGGUAUCUGCAUUACUGUUCAUAUCUUCUCUUAAUUCCUUCAGUAUUUUCACUAUUUCUCUUUUGAACUCCAGGUCUGUCUGACUGCAGAGAUCUGUUUCAUUGUUGACUGUUUUAGGUGAGUUCUCCUGUUGGUUUGACUGGGGGUGGUUUCUCAGCUUCUUCAUCUUGCUUGUUGUUUUCUUUCUCCUGAGGGAGUUGUACUCUCCGUUAUCGGGCAGUGUUUGCCUUGUCACUGCCGUGGAAUAUUUCCUGAGGGCUGGCGUUGUUGGUCAAUCUUUUUUGAGGCAGUGUGGCUUUUCUGGAGUGUUGAUGGGGCUAACAGUGUUUCUUUGAAGCAAAGGAGGACUUCCUGAGGGCAGACAGGACUGGGAGGUCCACACCACGAUGGUAGCAGAUUUCACUUGGUCAUGCAGAGCUUGCUCUGGUGUUUUUAGGCUGUGGGGUUCUUGCAGGGGGUUGGCGGUGUUGGGCAGCUGUUCCUCAGGAGUGCAGCACCCCCUGGGGGCUGGAGCAGCUAUCUGGGUCACUGAGAACCUAAGAGGCUCUUCCCUAGGGCAGCCCAACUCAGAAGGACAGCCUGAGAAUGUAGGCGGAUCUUUUCACAGUCUGGCCGAGCUUGUUGCAGCUUUUCUGGGCUGCAGGGGCUCUUCCAGGGGGCUGGUGGUGCUGAGCAGUUAUUUCACGGGAGUGGGGCACCCCCUGGGGGCUUGGGCGGGUAGCAGGGCCGUUGGAGACCCAAGAGGCUCCUCCCCAGGGCAGCCCAACUCAGAAAAACCGUCUGAGAUCUUUUCCCGACUCGGCCAGGCUUGUUGCAGCUUUUCUGGGCUGCAGGGGGUCCUGCUUGGAGCUGGCAGUCCUAUGCAGCUGCUGAUCCACUAGGGCACCCC
Molecule: long non-coding RNA, 1638 nt
Filed under: Sus scrofa (pig)
Lineage: Eukaryota; Metazoa; Chordata; Mammalia; Artiodactyla; Suidae
Description: lncRNA (ENSSSCG00035046515.1)
Source: RNAcentral